This 253-nucleotide ribosomal RNA is filed under the name uncultured bacterium. Its description in RNAcentral is "partial 16S ribosomal RNA". It matches the Rfam family "Bacterial small subunit ribosomal RNA", at positions 524 to 776 of the family's 1533-position model. The record is from RNAcentral.
UACGAAGGGGGCGAGCGUUGUUCGGAAUUACUGGGCGUAAAGCGCACGUAGGCGGAUCUUUAAGUCAGGGGUGAAAUCCUGGAGCUCAACUCCAGAACUGCCUUUGAUACUGGGGAUCUCGAGUCCGGAAGAGGUGAGUGGAACUCCGAGUGUAGAGGUGAAAUUCGUAGAUAUUCGGAAGAACACCAGUGGCGAAGGCGGCUCACUGGUCCGGUACUGACGCUGAGGUGCGAAAGCGUGGGGAGCAAACAGG